GGACAGGAGACAGGAGACAGGUGUAUGUGGACAGGUGUAUGUGGACAGGAGACAGGUGUAUGUGGACAGGAGACAGGAGACAGGUGCAUGUGGACAGGUGUAUGUGGACAGGAGACAGGUGUAUAUGGACAGGAAAUAGGAGACAGGUGUAUGUGGACAGGAGACAGGUGUAUGUGGACAGGUGGACAGGAGACAGGUGUGUGUGGACAGGAGACAGGAGACAGGUGUAUGUGGACAGGUGGACAGGUGGACAGGUGGACAGGUGUGUGUGGACAGGAGACAGGAGACAGGUGUGAACUGAUGCUCGGUGACGUCAUCUAAACUGAUCUCCC
Larimichthys crocea (large yellow croaker) is the source of this 332-nucleotide long non-coding RNA. RefSeq lists it as uncharacterized. Lineage: Eukaryota; Metazoa; Chordata; Actinopteri; Sciaenidae. The transcript is spliced from 3 exons. The record is from RefSeq and is a predicted model, not a curated record.